AGAAGAAGACUUGUUGUGGAAGAUGAUCUUUGUUGUGCUCUUGCAAAGACUGCCCCCAGAAUUUCUGAUCUGGUGAGAAAGAAGCAAUCUCAACCUUCCCACUGACAUUGGCUUUUUAUGCAUACCAUCGCAAAAUGUAGCAAUGUAGUUUACUGUUGUUAUAUUAAAACUAUUACC
Pipistrellus kuhlii (Kuhl's pipistrelle) is the source of this 177-nucleotide long non-coding RNA. RefSeq lists it as uncharacterized. NCBI's taxonomy places the organism in Eukaryota, Metazoa, Chordata, Mammalia, Chiroptera, Vespertilionidae. The transcript is spliced from 3 exons. The record is from RefSeq and is a predicted model, not a curated record.